GAAUAUUGGACAAUGGGGGGAACCCUGAUCCAGCCAUGCCGCGUGUGUGAAGAAGGCCUUUUGGUUGUAAAGCCCUUUAAGCGAGGAGGAGGCUACUCUAGUUAAUACCUAGGGAUCGUGGGAGUUACUCGCAGAAUAAGCACAGGCGAACCCUGUGCACGCAGCCGCGGUAAUACAGAGGGUGCAAGGGUUAAUUUGUGUUACUGGGCGUAAAUCGCCAAGCGGUGCGACAUUAACAGACACGGGCAACACCCGAGCAGCACAUGGGAUGUGCAUUCGAUACUGUUUGGCUAGUGCACGGGACACCAUCGUUGCUGGCCAAGUGCAGCGAUCAGAAGAGCACCACAAAAACGGAACAACGAGAGAGACAAACAAACUCUGGCCUCAUACUGACACUGAGGUGCGAAAGCAUGGGGAGCAAACA
Molecule: ribosomal RNA, 424 nt
Filed under: uncultured bacterium
Lineage: Bacteria
Description: partial 16S ribosomal RNA
Rfam family: Bacterial small subunit ribosomal RNA
Source: RNAcentral